Long non-coding RNA from Triticum urartu, 709 nucleotides. RefSeq lists it as uncharacterized. NCBI's taxonomy places the organism in Eukaryota, Viridiplantae, Streptophyta, Magnoliopsida, Poales, Poaceae. The record is from RefSeq and is a predicted model, not a curated record.
GACUGGACCAAAAUAUCGUCAAGAAGGCCUCUAGCACAGCUCUUCUCCCCUGCUUUUCAGUGGCAGCACCAUCGCAUGCGCUCGUCGCUGGCUCGGCUGCGUACCGCCGCCAACCAUAGCUUCAGCGGAUGGAAGAUGUAUGCCGCAGCGUCUCUCCCGAUCUCUUUUUCCGAAUGGAUUUGAGGGAGCCUUCAGCCCUUCACAGGAACUUUUUCUUGGAUCUGCUACAAAAUAGAUUGAGAAUUGGGGACUAUUCAUCAGAGGGAUUAGAGUUGGUAUCGUGAUCUUCUGGAAGUAUGUGGUAUGAGAGAGAUGAUGUUAUAUUCAGUAGAGUUGAUAUCCAUUGCCAAAUGAAAAAGCACGAAUGGCCAUUUUGAGUCGCUUGGUGACAUGAUGAUUCGAGGAGCAUGACCGGCAAACCUACCUUCAGUUUUAACUUAUGGUCUGGUAUUCCUGGGGACGUUAAGGUGUUGAGGAGCUCAGUAGGCUGCAUGUUCAUCAUGAUGUUGGUAUUUGUCGUUGCCUUGCACACUGUGUCCAGGCUUAGGUAUGUCACCUCUUCACCUUGUAUUUGGCUCAUUAUGUGGUCAUUUAUCUCCUUGACUGUAUCAUUUCAUGGACAUAGUAUUGCUCUUUCUUCUAGGUAAUCCCACUCACGGUAUUUUUGCAGCAAAUUUGGGUAUAUGCUUUUGACGAUUUGUUCUUUACA